This 253-nucleotide ribosomal RNA is filed under the name uncultured bacterium. RNAcentral's name for it is "partial 16S ribosomal RNA". It matches the Rfam family "Bacterial small subunit ribosomal RNA", at positions 524 to 776 of the family's 1533-position model. The record is from RNAcentral.
UACGUAGGGUGCGAGCGUUACUCGGAAUUACUGGGCGUAAAGGGUGCGCAGGCGGCCGAGCAAGUCGAGUGUGAAAGCCCCGAGCUUAACUUGGGAACUGCGCUCGAAACUACUUGGCUAGAGUGUGGCAGAGGGAGGUGGAAUUCCACGUGUAGCGGUGAAAUGCGUAGAGAUGUGGAGGAACACCGAUGGCGAAGGCAGCCUCCUGGGCCAACACUGACGCUCAUGCACGAAAGCGUGGGGAGCAAACAGG